GUUGAGUACUACAACAUUGUUAUGUUUCCACUAAUCCAAAUGUCAUCUGAUGCAGCAUGGUGCACAGUGGGAAUUGUGGCACGAUUCCACUGCAGCUUCCAAGCACAUCUCAGUCAUUACUUACACCCCCUGCACAGUGGGUUCUAGGACACACUUGUCUGGACAGGGAGCCGGGAAAGUAAUCAUCCAUUUUAAAGGAGAUGAAUGCAGCCUUGAUUCAUGACAAACUGUUCAUCAAAACAUUCUGGGAGCAAAAAAUUGUCAGUCAUGUACAGUUGACGGAAAACGAGGAACAGAGGAUGAAGAAUAGUGCACUGUCAAAGCUCCGUGAUGAAUGGCUCAUAAGACUUGAAAGUCGAACAAAGCAUCUCAAGAACUUCCGUGACGCACAGGCCGUAAAACUAACAUCAGCCAAGCAAACAGAUAAAGAAUGAUAAGUUGUACAUUUCUAAUGUAAAAUUAUCCAAAUGUUUCUUAAUAAUACAGAUCAAUAAAACAUCACAAAAUAUCUCUGCCUCCUCUCUC
This 525-nucleotide long non-coding RNA is filed under the name Astyanax mexicanus (Mexican tetra). RNAcentral describes it as "lncRNA (ENSAMXG00005013604.1)". The record is from RNAcentral. Lineage: Eukaryota; Metazoa; Chordata; Actinopteri; Characiformes; Acestrorhamphidae.